GUCAGCUGUUGUGUGGGUUUAAUUUAUUUCCCCAUUCUCCUUCCCCUCAAUAUCUUUUUGAUCCUAAGCAAUUUGUGAACGUUGAUGGUAUUGCAGCCCAAAUAGUUUCCAGCCAAACAUAUCGUUGCUCUGUGUGUGGCACCGCUUUUAUUUUUUUGAAAGAGCUCUACCUACCCGGUGCGUUUCCAGCGUUUUCCAUUUGGAAAUAGGGGUAGACUGCGCGCGCUGGUGAACAAGUAGAGUGACUCAACCAAGUUUCCCUUCUGUCUGAGGAAUGAGUAUACAUACCGUCGGGAGAGGACGAGCCGAAAAGCGCACGAUUGAAUGAAUAAAAUGGAAAGCCAAGACCUCGACACCGAUUUGGUGGGAAAUGUGUUGCCCGAAGCUACAACAUCUCCCCACCCGGCUCAGGACCCAAACCCCACAAAGCAAGACACUGAGGGGUUGACAAGCCACCCUAAAACAGGCCCAGCCCAGAUAAUGGAAACCUACACGAAAAAAGACAAACAAAGGAGAGUGGGGACACCCACGAAACUGGACAUCAUCCCGAAGUCACCUGCUACACCGACAUCGCCCAUGCCUGGCUCAAGGUCUAGCCCCAAACGUAAUAAAGACGCAGUGAAGUCAGAGGACAGACAGAAGCUGGCCAAGGAGCGGAGAGAGGAGAAGGCCAAAUAUCUGGACAAGCUCGGCCAGAUACAAGCGGCGAAGAAGUCCCAAUGGCUGGAGAAAGAGGAAAAGGCCCGGCAGCUGAGGGAGAGCCAGCUGGACGAGCGGCGCAGGAAGCUGGAGGAGCAGCGGAUCAAGACAGAGAAACGUCGCACUGCCCUGGAGGAGAGGCAGAAACAAAAACUAGAGAAGAACAAGGAACGGUAUGAGGCUGCCCUCCAGCGGUCCACUAAGAAGACCUGGGCUGAGAUCCGUCAGCAGAGAUUGUCCUGGGCCGGAGGCCUCAGCCAGAACUCCAGCCAGAGAGAAAGUAGAUGCUCGGCGUCGGCGGUCAACCUGCCCAAACACGUGGACUCGGUUAUAAACAAGAGACUCUCCAAGUCCUCCGCCACCCUUUGGAAUUCCCCCAACAGAACAGCCCGUAGCCUCCAGCUGAGCCCGUGGGAGAGCAGCAUUGUGGACCGACUGAUGACGCCCACCCUGUCCUUUCUGGCCCGUAGUCGCAGCGUCGCCAGCGUGCUCAGCAACGGUAAAGACCAGUCGUCCCUAUGCCCUCGUUCGGCCUCGGCCAGCCCGCUGACGCUGUGUGCCCACCGGCCCCACCACCGCUGCUCCGACCGCUGGAGGGUGACGUCCAGCACGCCCGACAUCACCCAGCGCCGACGCGACUCCACGCCGAUAGAGAAGAAAAAGAAAGAGAAGAAGGACAAGGAGCGGGAGAACGAGAAGGAGAAGAGUGCUCUCAGCAAAGACAAGGUGCUGAAGAAGAGACAGUCCUUACCCAGUAUGAGACACAAACCGGACCCCAGUCCUAGUCUCUUAUCCAGACAGCGGGCUGCCUCACCUGCCACUACUCCUAGAGCAAGACCUUCCUCCUCUUCUCCUAGCCCUGCUGCCUCCCCCAAACCUCCCUCCUCAGCCCGGGCUAGUCCCUCCACCCCCAAGGCCCGGCCCAAGAGGGCUAGGACCCCGGCCCGGGUGGACCACGGGCGCACCUCCUCCCCCGUACCCCUGGAGAGGGCCAGGGAGACCCGUGGCCGUAGGUCAGCCACGCCCGAGGAGCCCAAAGGCAAGAGCUCCCCCGUUCCUUCAAUCGUGGUAUCCUCUGCUCUGGCCACGCCCCCUUCGCUGAGUACACCAAACACGACGGCCACCACCACUCCCUCUGAGGUCCCUCCUUCUGCCCAAUCAGCCCCCAGUAUCCCUGCAUCGUCCCCAGCCCCAGCCUCCUCGUCAGCCAAGCCCAUGGCGGGCACCAACAACCCAGAGGAGGCCGCCCGGAUCCUGGCCGAGAAGAGGAGGCAGGCCCGGGAGCAGAGGGAGCGGGAGGAGCAGGAGAAACGCGAGCUGGAGGAGAGAGAGAAGGUCCUGCGAGAGGAGCGUAAGCUGCGGGAGGCGGAGGAGAGCAAGCGCAGAGAGGAGGAAGCGCGCCUCAUGGCUGAGGAGCAGCGCCUGAGAGACGAGGCCCAGCGUGUGGAUGAGGAGAAGGAAGCGCAGGAGAGAGCCAGGGCAGAACAGGAGGAGAAUGAGCGCCUACAGAAACAGAGAGAGGAGGCUGAGGCUAAGGCCAAGGAGGAGGCCGAGAAACAGCGCCUGGACAGAGAGAAACACUUCCUGAAGGAGGAGCAGGAGAGGCUGGAGAGGAAGAAGCGUCUCGAGCAGAUCAUGAAGAGGACACGCAGGACAGACGGAGGGGAAAAGAAAGACACCAAGUCCCCACCUCCCUCCCAAGUCAAUGGCAAAGAGGCCAAGAGCAACAAAGCCUCUGCUGACUACCAGCCAAGCCCAGAGAUCAACAAGAAUACAGAGAACGACCAUAGUGGUUUGAGAGACAGCUCCACGGUCCAUGUGGUCAACGGUGUCCAGCCUGCCAGACACGAGAAUGGCCUGUCUAGCAAGGGGGACACCGCACACUUUGAGGAGGUCAUCCAGCUAGCCAAUCAAGGCAACAGCAGCAACGGGGGGAGAGAGAAAUCAGAGAGUGACAUGCCCACUGAACCAAUCCUGGCCUUUGAAAGUGAUGAGCCCUUCCUGAAAAAAGUGGGCCCCAUGAAGCCUCAGCAUGUCGCAGGGCCAGGGUUCACAACGUGCCAUAAAGAGGCGCCAUGGGUUCGUAGUGUUGUCCUUGGCAACGAAGACCCGUCCAACUGAGCCGGUCGGUUUAGUGUCGUCUUAGAUGCAAGUCGUCACCCGUGCGUACGUGAGUGUCCCUGGGGAAAGAGAGGGGGAGAGAAAGGGAGGUACAGUGGGGAGAACAAGUAUUUGAUACACUGCCGAUUUUGCAGGUUUUCCCACUUACAAAUCAUGUAGCGGUCUGUAAUUUUUAUCUUCAACUGUGAGAGAUGGAAUCUAAAACAAAAAUCCAGAAAAUCACAUUGUAUGAUGUUUAAGUAAUUAAUAUGCAUUUUAUUGCAUGACAUAAGUAUUUGAUACAUCAGAAAAGCAAACUUAAUAUUUGGUACAGAAACCUUUGUUUGCAAUUACAGAGAUCAUAUGUGUCCUGUAGUUCUUGACCAGGUUUACACACACUGCAGCAGGGAUUUUAGCCCACUCCUCCAUACAGACCUUCUCCAGAUCCUUCAGGUUUCGGGGCUGUCGCUGGGCAAUACGAACUUUCAGCUCCCUCCAAAGAUUUUCUAUUGGCUUCAGGUCUGGAGACUGGCUAGGCCACUCCAGGACAUUGAGAUGCUUCUUACGGAGCCUCUCCUUAGUUGCCCUGGCUGUGUGUUUCGGGUCGUUGUCAUGCUGGAAGACCCAGCCACGACCCAUCUUCAAUGCUCUUACUGAGGGAAGGAGGUUGUUGGCCAAGAUCUCGCGAUACAUAACCCCAUCCAUCCUCCCCUCAAUACGGUGCAGUCGUCCUGUCCCCUUUGCUGAAAAGCAUCCCCAAAGAAUGAUGUUUCCACCUCCAUGCUUCACGGUUGGGAUGGUGUUCUUGGGGUUGUACUCAUCCUUCUUCCUCCAAACACGGCGAGUGGAGUUUAGACCAAAAAGCUCUAUUUUUGUCUCAUCAGACCACAUGAUCUUCUCCCAUUCCUCCUCUGGAUCAUCCAGAUGGUCAUUGGCAAACUUCAGAUGGGCCUGGACAUGCGCUGGCUUGAGCAGGGGGACCUUGCAUGCACUGCAGGAUUUUAAUCAAUGAUGGCGUAGUGUGUUACUAAUGGUUUUCUUUGAGACUGUGGUCCCAGCUCUCUUCAGGUCAUUGACCAGGUCCUGCCGUGUAGUUCUGGGCUGAUCCCUCACCUUCCUCAUGAUCAUUGAUGCCCCACAAGAGGUCCUGUGAGGUGUGCCACUCACAAAGGCGAUUCUUAGGCCCCCCCCCCCCGCACCUUCCCGAAUCCAGCCUCCACUCGUACGGGUAGAGGGCCCCCCUCUUCCCGAAGGUGCACAUCCCCAAUGACCUGUGCCAAACCAAUCACAGACUGCUUUCUAGGCCCAAAAAAGCAUAAACUUUCCCUGGGAAAAGGGCAGAAGAAGAUGAAGAAGAAGCAACAACUCUGCAUUCUGCAAAAAAGACACAAGCAAAACACAAAAACAGGAUAUGACGUCAUCGCCACCCGACAGGGUGCAUCAGUGUUACCAUUUGUAGAUGGUAGAAGAUAUUGCGGCAUCAAUUCUUCCACAGCAGUAUCAUCCAUGGUAGAUUUCAGUAGCCCUGGGGGGUAAAAAAAAAAUACACAUUUGACACAAAUGAGUAAUUGUUGAUAUUAUUAUGCUGACGAGUUGAAAGAGAAGUGAGUUGGCUUUUUGUUUCUAAUGUUUAGUUUAUUUAAGAGAAAUGUAAGGACUGGGUACAGUUGUAUGUGAAUAAUGUAAAUGAAAACGUGUGAGUUGGACUAAAUGAGGGAGGGGUCUGUGGAAUAAAUUGUGUGUGAAUUUAUGAAAGGAAUCACAAUGUUUACUUAACUCCUGCCUUUCAAGGUUUUCCCAGUAACUAAUAUGUAUUGGAAACGUAAUGAUAUGGUCUCUAUAAACAUAUUUGUAAAUGUUCUGUAAAUGGAGCUACACUGCAAAUAGAAUGUCUCCAAAAUACCGAAGAAGACGUUUGACAACGUUUUGACAAUGUAAGAAUUACAUUGUUGCAGCACAGCGUCAGUUGUCUCCAAGGAGCGCUAUAGAAAUGAACAAGGGAUCAGUUGAAUGAAAAACAGCACACACAUGGGUACUCCAGAUUCAGGAUUGGUAAACCUUGGGUCAAAUCAGUGACCCAUUCAGUUUAAUCAGUGUUGAAACAGAAUGUACACAAGGGCAUCCCAUCCCACCAUUUUAAAAAUCAGUGCAGUUUAGUUUUUUUUCUCAACCUGAGCAAGAAGCAUGAUAUGCUGCCACCUCCCAUCGAAAUUCCACAGAUUCUAAUGUGUUUGAAAAUGAAAUGCUGGUGUGUGUAUAUCUUAUAAAUACAUUUUGUUGUGUAUUGAAGGGUCAGAGGGAGUAUCGGGAGUCUUAUUAAAGAGAACAUUGUUGUCCAGUA
Molecule: RNA transcript, 5140 nt
Organism: Oncorhynchus nerka (sockeye salmon)
Lineage: Eukaryota; Metazoa; Chordata; Actinopteri; Salmoniformes; Salmonidae
Gene name: MAP7 domain-containing protein 1-like
Exons: 20
Source: RefSeq, a predicted model, not a curated record